RNAcentral lists this transfer RNA (64 nucleotides) under Lophops carinata. RNAcentral describes it as "tRNA-Pro". Lineage: Eukaryota; Metazoa; Arthropoda; Insecta; Hemiptera; Lophopidae. The record is from RNAcentral.
CAGUAAAUAUUUUAAAUAAAAUUUUAGUUUUGGAGACUAAAGAUGGGUAAAAUCUCUUUGCUGA